RNAcentral lists this ribosomal RNA (546 nucleotides) under uncultured Glomus. Its description in RNAcentral is "SSU rRNA". It matches the Rfam family "Eukaryotic small subunit ribosomal RNA", at positions 548 to 1098 of the family's 1831-position model. Lineage: Eukaryota; Fungi; Glomeromycota; Glomeromycetes; Glomerales; Glomeraceae. The record is from RNAcentral.
UUGGAGGGCAAGUCUGGUGCCAGCAGCCGCGGUAAUUCCAGCUCCAAUAGCGUAUAUUAAAGUUGUUGCAGUUAAAAAGCUCGUAGUUGAAUUUCGGGAUUAGUACGUUGGUCGUGCCUUCGGUACGUACUGGUGUUACUGAUUCCUACCUUCUGACGAACCAUCAUGUCAUUAAUUUGGUGUGGUGGGGAAUCAGGACUGUUACUUUGAAAAAAUUAGAGUGUUUAAAGCAGGCUCGCGCUUGAAUACAUUAGCAUGGAAUAAUGAAAUAGGACGUUGACCCUAUUUUGUUGGUUUCUAGGAUUGACGUAAUGAUUAAUAGGGAUAGUUGGGGGCAUUAGUAUUCAAUUGUCAGAGGUGAAAUUCUUGGAUUUAUUGAAGACUAACUACUGCGAAAGCAUUUGCCAAGGAUGUUUUCAUUAAUCAAGAACGAAAGUUAGGGGAUCGAAGACGAUCAGAUACCGUCGUAGUCUUAACCAUAAACUACGCCGACUAGGGAUCGGAUGAUGUUAUUUUUAAUGACUCAUUCGGCGCCUUACGGGAAAC